RNAcentral lists this long non-coding RNA (203 nucleotides) under Elaeis guineensis (African oil palm). RNAcentral describes it as "long non-coding RNA (EGUI_LNC065700)". The record is from RNAcentral. Lineage: Eukaryota; Viridiplantae; Streptophyta; Magnoliopsida; Arecales; Arecaceae.
AUGGUUGAUCAACGAUUAAGAAUCAUUUUAGGGUUAAACGAUUAAGAAUCGUUUUAGGGUUAAACGAUCAAUACGAUUGACAUUUAACCUAGUGCAAGUAUUGUAGGAGGAUCGAUUAGCAAUUUAAUUGCUAAUUGACUUAAUUUGAUUAAGCCAAUGGGCUGAGAUUAAGUCUAAUUGAAUAUGAUUUAAUUAGAUUUGGU